CCAAUAGCGUAUAUUAAAGUUGUUGCAGUUAAAAAGCUCGUAGUUGAACUUCGGGGUCUACCCAUUGGUCAGGCUUAAUUGUCUGCACUGGUGAGAUGGAUCUCUACCUUCUGAGGAACUUUCAUGCCAUUUAUUUGGUGUGAUGGGAAAUCAGGACUGUUACUUUGAAAAAAUUAGAGUGUUUAAAGCAGACUAUCGUCUGAAUACAUUAGCAUGGAAUAAUGAAAUAGGACGGACUGAUUCUAUUUCGUUGGUUUCUAGGAUCACCGUAAUGAUUAAUAGGGAUAGUUGGGGGCAUUAGUAUUCAAUUGUCAGAGGUGAAAUUCUUGGAUUUAUUGAAGACUAACUACUGCGAAAGCAUUAGCCAAGGAUGUUUUCAUUAAUCAAGAACGAAAGUUAGGGGAUCGAAGACGAUCAGAUACCGUCGUAGUCUUAACCAUAAACUAUGCCGACUAGGGAUCGGACGAAGUUAAUUUUAUAAUGACGCGUUCGGCACCUUACG
Molecule: ribosomal RNA, 502 nt
Filed under: uncultured Glomeromycotina
Lineage: Eukaryota; Fungi; Glomeromycota
Description: partial small subunit ribosomal RNA
Rfam family: Eukaryotic small subunit ribosomal RNA
Source: RNAcentral